GCCGGGGUCGCCUAGUGGUACGGUCUUCUUGUUAAACACGAGACGGCACUAAAGGGCGGCAGCCCGCUAAGCUGUUUGGCUAGAAAUGGCCUUCGCGAGUUCGAAUCUCGCCCCCGGCG
RNAcentral lists this transfer RNA (119 nucleotides) under Microcaldota archaeon. RNAcentral describes it as "tRNA-Ser". It matches the Rfam family "tRNA". From Rfam's summary of the family: Transfer RNA (tRNA) molecules are approximately 80 nucleotides in length. Their secondary structure includes four short double-helical elements and three loops (D, anti-codon, and T loops). Lineage: Archaea; Nanobdellati; Microcaldota. The record is from RNAcentral.